Molecule: long non-coding RNA, 785 nt
Filed under: Monodelphis domestica (gray short-tailed opossum)
Lineage: Eukaryota; Metazoa; Chordata; Mammalia; Didelphimorphia; Didelphidae
Description: lncRNA (ENSMODG00000029994.2)
Source: RNAcentral
AGGAGUGAGUCACUGUUGCUUCAAAAGCCAGAACCUUUCACACCAUUUCUGAGCCAUUCUUACUGCAUGGAUUUAACCAAAUUUCUGAAGAGAUUUCAAGAAUCUCGACGGGUGCAGUGCCAUUAUCCAUAUGAAUUUACUGAUGACCGAAAGAGGACUAUCACUUUCGCAGAUACUUCCUCAGGUCAGAUGUAUGCUGUUUAUACCUCUGGAAGUCUUCACUACAUUAAUGGGAUGGAUUUGUCUUUUACACGACUGGAUAUGGAUGGCAUGUCUGAAGAAGAGCAAGAAGAUCCCAUCUUUGCCUGUUACUGUGUGCCAGUUGAAAGGGAGAACUCGAUUAGCAAUUACCCUUCUAAACCCUCAAUAGAAUGGCAUUAGGAACAGAUAGAUGCCUGGGCAAACUAAGGACAGAGUUUCAGGAGGGUAUUGAAACUAUAUUCCACUUGUUCACUAGUUACGUGUGUAUCAGGGUAAAAUGUCAGUUUUGGUAAUUAAGAACUUAGUGGAAUCUUGUAUUGUCUUCUCCUUACUUCAACUAUGUCUAGAACAAAUGUGAUCUGCUGAAGAAAAUAAGCUUUAAAGCUUGCCUUCCCCCCUCUCCCACCUAUUACAUUUCCAUCUUGGGAUAUCAUUGAUGGGAAAUGGGUGCUGGACUUUGGAGUAAAGGAAAGACUUGUUGAUUCUCACCUCAGGUACCCGACACACAGGUUGUGCCACAGAUUGAUUCUUACAAAAUAUCACACAAUGUAUAUGAAUAAACAUUUGGUGGGGGGAAGUUUACA